Pogoniulus pusillus (Red-fronted tinkerbird) is the source of this 207-nucleotide long non-coding RNA. RefSeq lists it as uncharacterized. The transcript has 3 exons. Lineage: Eukaryota; Metazoa; Chordata; Aves; Piciformes; Lybiidae. The record is from RefSeq and is a predicted model, not a curated record.
CGGCUGUGGCGAGGCCGGGCGCUAGUGCUCGGGGGACGCGUUCUCGGCGGGCGGCGGCGGCUCGGCCAGAGACGGGCGGGGUCGGAGCGAGAUGGAGCCGUGACCAGUGACUAGGGGGAGAGCUGCUGGCAUGGAAGUGAGCUGGGUUUGUCCGUGGGCACUGUGAGCAAGGUAGCCAUCACGAAAGCCAAAGUGGAUUUCUCCGGU